RNAcentral lists this ribosomal RNA (518 nucleotides) under uncultured bacterium. RNAcentral's name for it is "bacterial SSU rRNA". It matches the Rfam family "Bacterial small subunit ribosomal RNA", at positions 791 to 1315 of the family's 1533-position model. The record is from RNAcentral.
UAGUCCACGCCCUAAACGAUGUAUACUCGAUGUUUGGAUUUAUUUCUGGGCAUCCAAGGGAAACCAUUAAGUAUACCACCUGGGGAGUACGUCGGCAACGAUGAAACUCAAAGGAAUUGACGGGGGCCCGCACAAGCGGUGGAGCAUGUGGUUUAAUUCGAUGAUACGCGAGGAACCUUACCAGGGCUUAAAUGUAGUGUGACAGGGGUAGAGAUACCUUUUUCUUCGGACACAUUACAAGGUGCUGCAUGGUUGUCGUCAGCUCGUGCCGUGAGGUGUCAGGUUAAGUCCUAUAACGAGCGCAACCCCUACCGUUAGUUGCCAGCAUGUAAAGAUGGGGACUCUAACGGGACUGCCGGUGCAAACCGAGAGGAAGGUGGGGAUGACGUCAAAUCAUCACGGCCCUUACGUCCUGGGCUACACACGUGCUACAAUGGCCGGUACAAUGAGCAGCCACGUCGCAAGGCGGAGCGAAUCUAAAAAACCGGUCACAGUUCGGAUCGGGGUCUGCAACCCGA